GGAAGUGCUGCUGACUGCGGAAGCCCCACAGUGGAGAGGCUGCGCUCAGUCAUGUGAGUAGAUUCAAAAGAGUUUACUGUCAUAUAUAUGGUGUGUGAGUGUGUGUCUGUGUGUGAGUGUGUG
Amblyraja radiata (thorny skate) is the source of this 123-nucleotide long non-coding RNA. RefSeq lists it as uncharacterized. The record is from RefSeq and is a predicted model, not a curated record. NCBI's taxonomy places the organism in Eukaryota, Metazoa, Chordata, Chondrichthyes, Rajiformes, Rajidae. The transcript is spliced from 3 exons.